This 292-nucleotide ribosomal RNA is filed under the name uncultured bacterium. Its description in RNAcentral is "partial 16S ribosomal RNA". It matches the Rfam family "Bacterial small subunit ribosomal RNA", at positions 505 to 796 of the family's 1533-position model. The record is from RNAcentral.
GUGCCAGCCGCCGCGGUAAUACAGAGGUCUCAAGCGUUGUUCGGAAUCACUGGGCGUAAAGGGUGCGUAGGCCGCACGGUAAGUCAGAGGUGAAAUCCCGGAGCUCAACUUCGGAAUUGCCUCCGAUACUGCCGUGCUUGAGGACUGGAGAGGAGAUUGGAAUUCACAGUGGAGCAGUGAAAUGCGUAGAUAUUGUGAGGAACACUAGUGGCGAAGGCGAAUCUCUGGACAGUUCCUGACGCUGAGGCACGAAGGCCAGGGGAGCAAACGGGAUUAGAAACCCCCGUAGUCC